GUGUGUGUCAGAGGAGAGUAGAGGAGGAGGAGGAGCGUCCAACAGACACGUCUGAUUAAGCAGUGUGUAAAUGGACCUGCUGGCUGGACCAGAUGAGGGCCGGCAGAUGGUUUUUCCACACCGCAGGCUUUUGCGUGCUGCGCCGCGGCCCUCCAAAAAAGCUUCUCCACCAGCAGCACAGCACAGCCCCCUGCCCCGGCCCCUCUCUCACCGUACACACCAACACCAUUAGCAUGUAAAUGAUAGCAGCGCCCCUUCGCCUCAGCUGUCAUAGGCUGCACCAGACCUCCAGCUUCUCGGUGCAUUAAUGUGAUUUUCCUCAUUGUUGUGGGAUUACGGGGUGGGAGGGUGGGUGAUGGUGUUGUAGGGAGGUGAGGCCGGUGCAAGUCUUGGCAUGGCUGUCCAAGGUUGCAUGUUGCGGAGAUUAACGCCGAUUCUCAUGAAUAAAGAGACAGCGAAGGAGAAGUUCUUCCCUCAAGGACACUUCUGGACUGGAACUCAAAGUUAACAGAAGGACAGAUUCUCUACAUCUUUCUUUUUCCACAAGCAUGGGAAAUCGGAAUGAUGUGCAGCAGCUGGGAAUGCGUCUGUCUGUGCUAAUUGGAGUGUGCAGUGUCAACACAAGGCUGACACUUUGGGGUGAAAGAGGAAGGAGUGCAGAGGAGAACACAGACGAACUGGCAACAGAACUAACGGCGCAGAGGAACAGCAGGUCCCAUACGCCCCAGCCCCCUCAGCUGGCUUUGUUCCUGCAUCUUCUUUGCAACAAUUCAAAAGCAGCUUGCACAAAUUAGACCCAUGGGGAGCGGGAACAGACCAACGUGCAGCACACUACUGUCACUCAGAAGAGUUUCUGCUAUGGAGAGAGGGGACACUGGAUACGCAAGGUGCUCAAGCAGACGAAUUGGCCACGAGGGACCAGAUGUUCCACUGCUGUGUUGCUUCGUCUCACUAAUAAAUGCUCUUGGCAUUGCACUGCA
Acanthochromis polyacanthus (spiny chromis) is the source of this 980-nucleotide long non-coding RNA. RefSeq lists it as uncharacterized. The transcript is spliced from 3 exons. Lineage: Eukaryota; Metazoa; Chordata; Actinopteri; Pomacentridae. The record is from RefSeq and is a predicted model, not a curated record.